GAUGAACGCUGGCGGCGUGCCUAAUACAUGCAAGUCGAGCGAACAGACGAGGAGCUUGCUCCUUUGACGUUAGCGGCGGACGGGUGAGUAACACGUGGAUAACCUACCUAUAAGACUGGGAUAACUUCGGGAAACCGGAGCUAAUACCGGAUAACAUGUUGAACCGCAUGGUUCAACAGUGAAAGACGGUCUUGCUGUCACUUAUAGAUGGAUCCGCGCCGCAUUAGCUAGUUGGUAAGGUAACGGCUUACCAAGGCAACGAUGCGUAGCCGACCUGAGAGGGUGAUCGGCCACACUGGAACUGAGACACGGUCCAGACUCCUACGGGAGGCAGCAGUAGGGAAUCUUCCGCAAUGGGCGAAAGCCUGACGCAGCAACGCCGCGUGAGUGAAGAAGGUCUUCGGAUCGUAAAACUCUGUUAUUAGGGAAGAACAAAUGUGUAAGUAACUAUGCACGUCUUGACGGUACCUAAUCAGAAAGCCACGGCUAACUACGUG
Molecule: ribosomal RNA, 497 nt
Filed under: uncultured bacterium
Lineage: Bacteria
Description: partial 16S ribosomal RNA
Rfam family: Bacterial small subunit ribosomal RNA
Source: RNAcentral